GAGUUUGAUCGUGGCUCAGAGCGAACGCUGGCGGCAGGCCUAACACAUGCAAGUCGAACGAACUCUUCGGAGUUAGUGGCGGACGGGUGAGUAACACGUGGGAACGUGCCUUUUGGUUCGGAAUAACUCAGGGAAACUUGUGCUAAUACCGAAUGUGCCCUUCGGGGAAGGAUUUAUCGCCAUUAGAGCGGCCCGCGUCUGAUUAGCUAGUUGGUGAGGUAAAGGCUCACCAAGGCGACGAUCAGUAGCUGGUCUGAGAGGAUGAUCAGCCACAUUGGGACUGAGACACGGCCCAAACUCCUACGGGAGGCAGCAGUGGGGAAUCUUGCGCAAUGGGCGAAAGCCUGACGCAGCCAUGCCGCGUGAAUGAUGAAGGUCUUAGGAUUGU
RNAcentral lists this ribosomal RNA (388 nucleotides) under uncultured microorganism. RNAcentral describes it as "bacterial SSU rRNA". It matches the Rfam family "Bacterial small subunit ribosomal RNA", at positions 9 to 426 of the family's 1533-position model. The record is from RNAcentral.